CAAUGUAUGCUUUGGAAACUGUUAGACUUGAGUGCAGAAGGGGAGAGUGGAAUUCCAUGUGUAGCGGUGAAAUGCGUAGAUAUAUGGAGGAACACCGGUGGCGAAAGCGGCUCUCUGGUCUGUCACUGACGCUGAGGCUNGAAAGCGUGGGUAGCGAACAGGAUUAGAUACCCUGGUAGUNCACGCCGUAAACGCUGAGUGCUAGGUGUUAGGUCCUUUCCGGGACUUAGUGCCGACGCUAACGCAUUAAGCACUCCGCCUGGGGAGUACGACCGCAAGGUUGAAACUCAAAGGAAUUGACGGGGGCCCGCACAAGCGGUGGAGCAUGUGGUUUAAUUCGAAGCAACGCGAAGAACCUUACCAGGUCUUGACAUCCCGAUGCCCGCUCUAGAGAUAGAGUUUUUCUUCGGAACAUCGGAGACAGGUGGUGCAUGGUUGUCGUCAGCUCGUGUCGUGAGAUGUUGGGUUAAGUCCCGCAACGAGCGCAACCCUUAUUGUUAGUUGCCAUCAUUAAGUUGGGCACUCUAGCGAGACUGCCGGUAAUAAACCGGAGGAAGGUGGGGAUGACGUCAAAUCAUCAUGCCCCUUAUGACCUGGGCUACACACGUGCUACAAUGGUUGGUACAACGAGUCGCAAGCCGGUGACGGCAAGCUAAUCUCUGAAAGCCAAUCUCAGUUCGGAUUGUAGGCUGCAACUCGCCUACAUGAAGUCGGAAU
This 717-nucleotide ribosomal RNA is filed under the name uncultured bacterium. RNAcentral describes it as "bacterial SSU rRNA". It matches the Rfam family "Bacterial small subunit ribosomal RNA", at positions 615 to 1332 of the family's 1533-position model. The record is from RNAcentral.